AAUUGUUGUCUCAUUACAUGUUUCAAAUCUUUCCAAGUUUAGGUUGGUUAUCAAUAUUUUUCUUACAAUGCACACUCCAGCAAACAGAAGCAAAGCCAGUAAAUGCUCUAGUGGCAGCUCGUACUCUCUCAACUUCAGAAAAAGUCAUGGUUACUAAAAACUUGUUCUACUUCAAACUCCCAAGCUAGAUAAAUAGCAGGAUUAAAUCUACCCUCAAAUGACGGUAAAGAGAUAAGCUGACCAUGUGCUUGUGUGUGUUGUCCCAACUCUCGUGAUGGUGAAGAUGUGUCCGUCGUCCAAGAACUUCUAUCUCCGGAACCUGUCAUGAUUAGUAGAAACAGGAAACAAAAUUCGAGAAUAAUGUUCCUAUGAACUACUAGGAUGUGGUUGUAAAGUGCUCACAGUAAGGCAAAUAUCAAUAUCUUACAAGUUCUUACCAUGCGGCAGGUGGUGACAGGCAACCAGCAAUGUCAAAUAACUCCGAAGAUUGUGUAAAUCGAUUGCCAGGGGAACGUAUGUAUACACGGUGUAGAAAUAUGUGGAGCUGGGUUGGCUAUAUAUGGUAGCAAAAUAUUAGCAAUAAUCAAUUCAAAGAUGCAAUGUUGAAUAAACGCUCAACGACGGUAAUGUGCUGGUCCUAGGCUAGACCGGACUAGAGACGCGAGCCUAGAACACUAAUGAGGUCACGACAUAGCACAACUAGCAUCAAUGAAGGAUAAGUAGCUCUGGACAGCAAGAUAUAAGUGAAGAUCACAACGGCAGUAAAGAUAAUGAUGAAUAACAACUGCCAAGCAGGAUAUAUAACAAUUCUCUCUCCAAAUUUCCUCUUGAAAAGUUUGCUACUAACUCAAGCUUUCCAAUGCAAAAAGAAUCACUCAAUUCUGAGGUGAUAUAAGGAGUCAAAAAAUCCUAAAACUGGCUUGAAAAACUGGAAUAAGCUGUGUUCGCGAACUUCGGAGGGCAAAAAGACCUAUUUAGAAGCCGAUUUUGAGGUGCAAAAUAUUGAACUAGCUUCUACAACUAUUUAGAUGUGUCUCGUCUCUAGCUUUAGUUUGAGUACUCGCGGAGCCAAAACUGACGUCGUAUGAGGAAGUUAUGCCUUUUUUACUGAACAGUGCACAAAACAGAUUCCAGUCCGAAUUCAACUAUGAGACUGAGUCUAGAUAGAUCCGAAUUUUGUUUUUUUUCUCUUUUUUACCUCACACUUUUUUUUCUCCCUCUUUCCAAGACAAACUAGAUAAGAUGCAGAUUGGAUCAGGCGAAGAUGUGAAUGACCUCAACUAGGAUUAUGACAAUGGACAGUGCGUAGCACGUGGUGGAAAUUGAUGGAUGAGAUGAUGGACAGCGGAAGGGAUAAUGAUGCAGCGGCGACGUGACUAAUGUGAACAGAACUCGAAACUCUAAAGGAACUAGACACUAAGACCAGCAACUCGACACGACGAUGUAACUGAUAAUUCAAUAAUGCAAACAAUGAAACGAAAAUUGCAAAGGCUCGGACUGGCUAGGACAAAGGAUGAAUAGAUCUAACUUUUUUUGUGGUUUUUUUCUUGGACAAUAGGUAAGAAAAUCAAUCUAAUCUAGGGAUGACUGGAAAUUCUCACCGAGCAACCUGAAAACUGAUACCACUUGAUAGAGGCGAGGGUCCCGAUCUUUCGAUGAGAUGAUAACUAUCGAUUGGAAUCACCUGGUAAUUUAGUUGGCGUGCACGAGCUCUAGUAAUUGGUCCAGUAUGUAUAGCAGCAGGGGCUGUGGGUGUAACAAUUGUAUUGAUGUCCUCAUCAUCCUCCCCUUCUUGAAAUGAAGUCGUCCUCGACGGAAGUUCAUCUUCCUCACCCAAAUAAGGCUUCAAAUCUGCAACGUUAAAAGUGGGACUAACCCCAAAAUCUGCAGGCAGCUCAAGUUUAUAUGCAUUAUCAUUUAUUUUCUCUAACACCUUAAAGGGACCAUCAGCACGUGGCAUUAGCUNNNNNNNNNNNNNNNNNNNNNNNNNNNNNNNNNNNNNNNNNNNNNNNNNNNNNNNNNNNNNNNNNNNNNNNNNNNNNNNNNNNNNNNNNNNNNNNNNNNNCAAAAACUGGCUUAAGUGACCAAAUGGUCUCGCCGGGAAUGCGGGCAUUUUUUCGACCACCUCCAAAUCAUCUCAGUUUUGGCACACAUGAUCUCUUCCACAAACAAAACUAGGUUUCCAAGUUUUUGUAUUUUUUUAAUUUUUUUUGAAUUUAUAAUGCCCUCUAGAUUGACUGCUGAAAACAUCAGUCUAUGCCUCAAGGGGGCAUUGUAAAAUAAUUUUUUUCAAAAUUUUCUUGCAUACACAUGUUUUGCACAUGUGGGUCACCAUGUACAAGAAAAUUUGGGUGAUUUGGAGGUGGUGGAAAAAUUCACGUUUUUUCAAAAACUGGCUUAAGUUAGACCAAAUGGUCCCUCCGGGAAUGUCCCGGACCUGCAUGCAAGAGUCAGGGACCUACAUGCAAGAGUCGGGGACCUGCAUGCAAGAGUCAGGGACCUGCAUGCAAGGGUCGGGGACCUGCAUGUGAAUAGUGAUUCAUCAAGGCCUUGACAGCUACUGGCACAGCGGCCGCUGCCUGAUUUGCAUGCAGCGAAGAUGAACGUGCAUGGAGGUUUUUCAAAGAUUUCCAAGCACACCCGAGUGGGCCCCGCUUAUUUAAAAAAUACGUCAGUCAUUAUUGCUCUAUAAAUGAAGAAUAUGCAUGAUGAUUAUGAAUAUGCAUGACAACCGUAGUAAGGGUGAAGAAUCAUAGUGCCCAAUUUGUCGAAAUACAUCAUCAUUCUUAAAGUUGGACAUCAAAUGAUACACACAGAAAAUGGAAACGAAAGAUGCCGAACUAAUACAGUAACAUGGCAGUACAACCGCACUUCACUAAAUUACUGUUACGAUGAAAUAGAAUGUAAAGACCACGUCACACAAAGCUGAAUGGCACACGACUUUCUCUGGCUCAUCGUCGGUUCAUGCUGUAUGUAGAUAUCACAGUUCAGCCUCGAGAUCCUACACAGAAGAAUAGAAUAAAUCACAUGGACAUCAAUUAUGAGUAAAACACAUGCAAAAAAAAUAUGAACAUAUUUCGUACCUCUAGCAAUUUAGCGCAUUUACGUUGAUUGUGACCUGGUUUCUUGCAAUAGCCACAGAUAUUCUGUGAUCUUGACUUCUUUGUCUUUGCCUGCAGCCUUUUCUUCGGUGCACCUCGUCCUGGCACAUGCACGGGAUCCAGAACUUUAUCAACUUUCUGCGAGUGCGCCAUCAACGGGCCAAACCUAAUGCUGUUAUGCUGAGCAUUAGUUGGCUCCUUGCUGUCAGCUUGUUCAAAACUUGAUUGAUUGCCAUGAUGUUGUGCUUGCAAAAGCAUCUUUAGACGGCGAUAGUCCUCAUCAGAGUGGCAUGCCUGGAAACUUGCGGCAUGACUACAAUUCCGCAACUCGCGGUACCUCUGCAGGCUUAGCGAAUAGUCAUACAUCUGGUUUUUUCUGGUAGGUGCGUAUGCACAUUUUGCAUUCAUAGUCCACCUAGUGGGAACGCAACAACCGGGCAGAAUUGUUUGUUUUAAAAUCCCCAAUAUGUAAAAAAUGUGGGAACAUGGUGUGCCUGCGCAUUCCAGCUUACGGCAAGAACAACUCACCCUGUGCAAAAGACCUCCUUGCUCUUCAAUGCGCACUCCAAACUUUUUAUCCAUUCUUUCCUGCUUGGACACAACAUAAGUGGAAUCUUCUGAUCCAUCUAGUAUCUCUCUAAUCUAACAUUUGCUGACAGCAUCUAUGCUCCAUAAGACCAUCUUAAAGACACUAGGUGUGAAAACUGUUGCGGCGUGUUUCUCAAGCGGCGAAGCAUUUUCCUCUGUAAAUGGAAUGGACUGCAAGGCUUCGACAUCAUGGAGAGCUUCGUUAAUCCGUCGCGACGCAAGGCAACGCUCAUAGUGCUCUAGCAUUUCAAACAAUGACAUCUUACCCUCAAGAUGCGUAUGUAGCACAGAGUUCAAGCUCUCACUCCUCUGAUUGCUGCUCAAUCCUAGGAAACAACGCCCCUCAAGAUAUGGAGCACACCACAACUUUCUCAUCUGAUACAUCUGAUGCAGCCAAGACUCCUCACUGGUUACUUUAUUCCGUUGUAAGAAUUGUAUCCAUUUUAUCUCAUGCUCUUCAAUGGAAGAAGUAUCAUAAAUGAAAGAUCUGAAUUCCUCCUUUACGUCGUCAUCAUGCAGAUGCCGUACAAUGUUCUGCUGAAUGUGCCAUAUACAUAGCCUAUGGUUUGAGUCUGGCCAGACCACCCUUAUUGCUCUCUGCAUUGCAAGGUCCCCAUCUGUGAUCACAGAUAUCGGAUGCUUCUGUGCCAUGCAAUCAGAAAAGGUCCGCAACAUCCACUCGUAUGCUUGGCUUGUUUCAUGAGAAAUUAUACCACAGCCAAAUAUAACAGUGCUGCGGUGGUGAUUCAACCCGACAAAAGGCACGAAUGGCAGAUUGUAUUUGUUGGUUCUGUAUGUGCUAUCGAAAACAAUGACGUCUCCGAAAGCCUCGUAGUCAAGUCACGAUUGACUAUCAGCCCAGAACAGUCCCUUCAGAUGGCCAUGCUCGUCUACCAAGUACUUGAAGAAAAAAAUCCACAUCUCGCUCUCGCCUCGCCAUCAUGUGCAUGAUCACCGUUUUAGCAUCACCGACACUGAUUGUCUCCUGCUUAUUAGCAUGGCAGAAAUUAUAAACGUCCCUCUUUAUGCAUUUGUUGGAUCCAUCCCACUCAACGUAGCUUUUCCUCACACUAAAACCUUUUUCAAGAGCAUAUUUGUUGUAGAAUUCAUAGCCUUCAGCCUCACUAUCAAACAUCUUGCUGACAACAUUUACAUACUCGAACAUACUCUCAUCACUUGCAUACGCCAUGUCUUCCUGCAUAUGACAUGUGAGGGAAACCAAUCAUCAACAUCUUUCUGUUUAUCAAUGUUGCAGGUGUAAAAUAGCUCAUAGGCAAAGACAAGUGCAUGGAAAAGACUUUGCUGGUUUGACAUGUGAGGGAAACCAAUCAUCAACGUCCAACAAGUAGUAUCUCAUCUUCCUUUAAACUAUAUUUCAUGCGCUAUGCAAACCUAAAGUGAUGAUGACUUUAAUAAACAAAAUUAAGUGAACUAUGGAACCAGUAUCUCAUCUUCCUUUAGUAUAUCUCAUCUCAAACGUCAACAUCUUACUUAAACAAACAUGAUGCGAUUAGCUCAAGAGAAACUAUGCCACGAUGAAGCUUUCCAUUCGUUGUUCUAGUCCGUACCCGGAUCUUGUGGGGUUUAGGUUGUACUGCAUGCACGGUGGAGGGGCGCAACGGCCAAGAGAACGAGCAGAACGCCAAGCCGAAUUCAUACCUUAACGAUGGUACGCGCGAAGAGAUGGGAUCGCCCGCCGCGGUCGCCGCCGAUUCAGCGGCGCAGAUCCGGCCUUAUUCUUCUUCGGUGACGGCGUGGGGGGCUGGGUUGGUUGGGUGGAGGACGAGGACGAUGAAUUUAUUCCUCUCGCCGGGCAGGCCAAGGACGGACAAGGUUAGGAGCGGCGAGCGGCGACAAAUAGAUCGGAGGAGGAUUCUGAACUGGAUCGAGUAGACAUGGAUCUGGUCCUCAGGUGAUCGGUUCAAGAAAAGAUAUUUCCCCCUGGACCAUUAUGCCCUUAUGGCAAUUAACAUAUUAAAUUUAAUCAAUUAAAAUUCCCCGCAAGAUCUGACGGCUAAUAAAAAUCAAACGUGAUCAGACAUGUAAGUACUGCUAAGUACUCCGAGUACUAACCCAAUCACUGUAAAACAUAUGUUUUGGUAGGAAGUGUAUUGUUCUUAUGUUUUUUCCUGGUAUGUAUUGACUGAUGCAGUAACUGAUAUUUCAGAUUAUAAAAUCCAAUCGCUCGGUAAUUGUUUGUAUGGAUGCAUAUGCUGAAUCUGGGUUCGUACUAACUCAACAUUACCUGCUUGACCAAAACAUUGGACCGGCACCCUCGCGCCAAGGCGUGAUUCUGAUCUAGUGGGCAUGAAUCUGGCUGGAUGUGCCUCUUUGAAAUCGCUACCCAUUUGGUCGAUAUGUUUGGAUUCUUGGCCUAGACGUAUUUUAUAGCAAAUUCAGAAACUAUAGCAAAGAAUAGAGAGAAAAAAAAAUCAAAACUAGCACCCUGUCGGCUAAGCGUCGGCCGAAAAGGGUGUUUUCGGCCUCCCUUUGGCCGAAAUGGACUUUUUGGCCUUGACUUGGCCGAAAAGGUGUGUAUCUGGGCCGAAAAGAACUUUUUGGUCAGGAGUAGGCCGAAAAGUCCCUUGAGCCCACUUUUUCACGUUAAUGGUUGACUGAAGUUGCAUGGCUCCACUCUUCGGCUUAUGUUAGGUCGAAGUGAUUUUUUUUAUUUUGGUAUAUAAAUAUUAUGCAACCAUUGGCCAUCUUAGACAUCGAAAAAAAUAUAUUUUCGCGCAACCGUUUCCCCUUAAUAUUUUCCUGCCAACUCUUUCCCGCCAUAUGUUCCCGCCAACCCCUUCCCGCUAACCCUUUCCCGCCAUACCAUAGCAUACCAUUAAAUAAAUUCUUCAUAUUUAAAAAAAUCAUGUUUCUCAAAAUCUUUUCACUUUUUUUAAAUGUCUUCACAAUUCAGAAAAACAUUAACCGUAUAUCACAAAAAUAUUCAAUGUGUCUUCAAAAAAAUUUUAGCUUAUACUACAAAAAUGCUCAGUGUAUAUUUAUAAAUUGUUCAUCACUUAAAAAAUCAAUAAAUGUUUGGAAUUCUAAAUUUUUUUUCAUGUGUUCAAUAAAUUUUCACGUUUUGAAAGUUUGUUAGUAUUUCGGAAAUUUUUAUUUUAAAUAAUUAUUUAAAUUGCUAAAGUAAAAUUGCUCACUUUUUUCUGAAAAUGUUGAAUUUUUAUAAAGAAAGGGAUCUGUUGUUGUACAUUAGCCAGAUGCUAUCCCAUUUGGCUGGUAACACAUAUACCCAGCGUGAGGUCAGGUUUUUGACUCCAUCGCUUACGCUUUUAUCCCAUUUUUUAAAAAUAUGAAGAAUUUAUUUAAUGGUAUACUGUGGUAUCACUACUAGGGAAAAGCCUAGCAGCAGCGCGGGUUUUGGGUGUAUCAGUAGCGCGGGUGCCCGCGCUACUGAUACGGCGCCACAACUAACUUGUAGCAGUAGCGCGUGUUGACACACGCUACUGCUAUACAUGGUUAGCUGUAGCGUGCGUUGCAAACAGCGCUACUGCUAAUUAGCUGUAGCGGGUCAUAUACCCUGCGCUACUGCUAUUACUUUCAAAAACAAAAAAAAUCUCGAUUCCGUGCGUGCUGUCAAUGGCAGCAAUGGUAGGAUCUAGCGAUGAUUGGCGUCGCCGGAGGCAUGAACGGACAGCAGAAGACCAGAUCCAGCAGUGGCUGUUGGAGAGGGCCCGUUUCUAUGGCAGAGCCAGGCCGCGGCGUGGGGCUCCUCUUCCCGACCAUGCCAUAUAGCUCCGGGUCAUCCAUGGAGACGACCUGCACAGGCAUGGACAUGGGAGGGUGAGUCAAACCAGAGGGAGAGAGAAAAGGAAAACCGAGGGAGAGAGGAAGGUGAUGUAGGGAGCAGCAGAGCUAGCCACCGGUGGCGAGGUGCUCCAGUGUGGUGGCGCGGGGCGGCGGCCUCCUAGACGUCGGUGGAAGACCGGCGAGCUCCUAGACGCCGGUGGCGCGAGGCGGCGGCCUCUUUCGGCGCCAUGGAGGAGGAUGGGUGCAUGGGCAAGAGGUCCAUGUGAGAGCAUAUGGAAAGUGAGAGGAGAGAGUUGUGGAAGAGAGGAGGGAUUUGGGGGAGGAGAUGGGGAUUCGGCUAAGGAUAUGGCCACUUCACCUACCUCGUACUUAGUAGUAGCGAGGGGUAUAAAACCGCGCUACUACUAUCAACUUAGUAGUAGCGCGGGUUUAUACCCCUCGCUACUACUAUGGCAUGUGUCGGGGGGCACGGUAGAAACCGCUUAGUAGUAGCGAGGGUUAAAAACCCGCGCUACUGCUAAUUAGCAGUAGAGCAUCUUUUUGUGACGCGCUGCUACUAAGAUUCUGUGUAUAAGGUUUUCCCUAGUAGUGUAUGGCAUGAAAGGGUUGGCGGGAACAUAUAGCGGGAAGGGGUUGACGGGAAACGGGUGGCAGAAACAUAUGGCGGGAAGGGGUUGCCGGGAAACGGGUGGCGGGAAAAUAUUGAGGGAAAAGGGUUGCGCGAAAAAAUAUUUUUUCAAUGUCUAAGAUGGAUAAUGGUUGCACAGUAUUUAUAUAUCAAAAUUUAAAAAAAAUCACUUCGGCCUAACGUAAGCCGAAGAGUGGAGCCAUGCAACUUCGGUCAACCAUUAAGGUGAAAGAUGGGCUCAAGCGACUUUUCGGCCUACUCCUGACCAAAAAUGACUUUUCGGCCUACUCCUGACCAAAAAGGACUUUUCGGCCUACUCCUGACCAAAAAGGACUUUUCGGCCUACUUCUGACCAAAAAGGACUUUUCGGCCUACUCCUGACCAAAAAGGUCUUUUCGGCCCAGGUACGCAUAUUUUCGGCCAAGGCAAGGCCAAAAACUCCAUUUCGGCAAAAGGGAGUCCGAAAACACCCUUUUCGGCCGACGCGUGGCCGACGGGGUGAUAGUUUUGAUUUUUCUCCACCCUUUGCUAUAGUUUCUGAAUUUGCUACAAAAUACGUCAUAAUUUUGAAAAAUGAUCCUCUCUCUCAAAUUCCUGAGCAUUUUUUAACUCGUAAAGAAUUUUCAUUUUUUUUUUAAAAUAGUUCGUGAACAUUUUCUCAAUAGGCAAAAAAUUUAGUAUGUUCAAGAACAUUACUCAAAUUCACCAACGUUUUCCAACUGCGAAGAAAACUUUCAAGUUUGUGAACAAUUUUAUUAAAUACGUGAACAAUUUUUCAUAUUCAUGAACAUUCUUCCAACUUCGUGAACAUGUUUUCAAAUAUUCGAACAUAUUUCCCUAUUCCCGAACAUUUCUCAAAUUUGUGAAUAUUUUCAAAUACGUGAACAUUUUUUCAAGUUUAGGAAAUUUCUCUCAAGUUUGCGAGCAAUUUUAUUAAUACAUAAACGUUUUUUCUUAUUGGGGAACAUUUUCAAAAUACACUCCUCGAAGAUGAAUUCCAUCCAUCCUUGACCAAUAUUUUUGUUUUUGAAACUCGGCCGAAACCUGGCCAGUAAAUGGAAAGUGAUAAACUUUUUGUUGAUGGACUGAUCGACUGUUCCACCGGCCCACACGGUGCAAAUUCAAAGUCCGCGAGCGCUAUGUCUUGCAUUACGCGAGACGGGAGCACCUAGUUAACAAGCGCUCCUUUGGGAGCUUUGCAAUGAUCAGCGUCACUUGGCGCGCUCUCAGCCAUUCGCCACAUGUCGCGCUCUGGACGCUUCCUUUAGAUUUUUUUUUUCCGCAUGCGUUUUUGGCUUUUUAAAGGUUUUUCCUGGGUUUUUUUGACAUUUUGGUUUUCCCUUAUGUUCCUUAGAUUUUCGAUAAAAAAAAUUGGGGAAUUUUUCUUUUUACGAGAAAAAACGCGUUUUCUUUUUUCUUUCUUUCGUGAAAGUAACGGUUUUUUUCCGCGAGAGACACGGUUGUGCUUUAGCGAGAGUCACGGCCGUGCCUUUCGGAAGCGGGAAAAAAACGCAUUUUCAGUUUUUUUUUCUUUCACGAGAGUCACGGUUAUGCUUCCCCGAGAGGCACAGUUGUGCUUUCGCAAGAGUCACGGCCGUGCCUCUCAGAAAAGGAAAAACAAAAUGCGUUUUUUGUUUUUUUUUUCGCGAGAGUCACGGCCGUGCCUCUCAAAAACGGAAAAAAUACGCGUUUUCUGUUUUUUUUUCUUUCGCGAGAGUCACAAUUUUGCUCCCCCGAGAGGCACGGUUGUAAUUUCACGAGAGUCACGCCCGUGCCUCUCGGAAACGAAAAAAACGUGUUUCCUGUUUUUUUCUUCCACAAGAGUCACGGUUUUGCUUCCACGAAAGGCACGGGUGUGAUUUCGCGAGAGGCAUGGGUAUGCCUCUUUCGAAAAGGGAAAAAACUGUGCUCCCGCUUCGGUUUUUUCGUUCGGUUUUUUCAUCCGAUUUUUUCCAUGAAAAAAAGUUCGUCGAAACCUAUCAACAUGCUAUCUAGUUUUGAAGAUCUCGACGCGAGGAAUCCAAUGAUGAAAACGUUGAAGAUUUAGACGCACGGUUUAAAAGAUAAAACAUUUUGAAUAAACGGAUCUAUAAAAAAGAAAAAACUCCCAGGUUGCGACAAGUGACAUAUUGCAUAUACGCCACUUAUCGCGACCUGGGAAAGUGGAGUAUUCUGUUCAACGAAUACUCCUUAAUUAGUGAUUUCGACGCAAGACGGUAGCAGCUCGCUGACGGUUUUUCCUCUCCCGACGCCAUAUUGGGCCGGCCCAUUCACGCGCGCAUAUAGUUGGAAAAGAGCUGAGGAAAGGGGGAACCAGGAUCGAUUCCUGGUCUCAAAGGUGACAGCGGGUGCUGCUACCAGUCCGAUCAAGUUCCGUUCGUGAUAAGUUGUAGGUGCGCGUCGUACUUGAGCCGAUUCAAGCCGGUUUACUUUGAGUUUUUUUUCCUUCUUCAUUUUUUUCAUUCUUUUUUGCACUUGUUUCUUCAUUUUUUUUCAUUUUUAUUCUUUUGUUUAUUUUCUUUGUUCUUUUGGUUAUUAUUGUGCAUUUUUUGUAUACGUCAACAAUAUUUUUCUAAUACACGUCUAACAUUUUUCAAAUACAAACCAACAAUUUUUGCAAUACAUGGCCUACAUUUUUGUAUACACAUUUUUUAAAUGCUUGAUUAUCAUUUUUCAAAUAUAAUAUUAACAAUUUCAAUACAUGGUUAACAUUUUUUUUCCAUUUUUACAAAAAAAAAUUAAAUGCUUGAUUAACAUUUUCUUAAUAGAUGGUCAACCUUUUUUUCAUACACAUUUAACAUUUUCCAAACGCUUGAUUAACUUUUUCAGACCCUUGUUCGACAUUUCUUUCAAAUGCUGGAUUAACAUUUCUAUAUACUUGAUCAAAUAUUUCUAUCAUUUUUAAUACAUGGUCAACAUUAUUAACAUACACAUUUAACAAUUUCCCAAUUGUUGAUUAAUAUUUUUUAAAUACUCGUUUAACAUUUCCCAAUUUUAGCUAGUUAUGGUGCAAACUAAGUGUUGUGCCUCGUCUUAAUCUAUCUAUAUAUCCUAUCUUCUAUUCGGCGACGUGGUUGCGCCCGUGGCGGAUGUGGUCGCCGCCAUGACUUGGUCGAUCUCCCUCUUCUGUAUUCGAGAAAAAAAGAUCUCCGUCUUCUCUUUAGAUGAGAUGGGGAGGAGAUGGUGAGAGAUGAGGUCAACGGCAUUGGGGAGAGGAUAAGGGUAGACGCCAGUGGUGAGGCGGCGUGAGGAAGACGAGGUGGUUGGCGGCUAGGACACAUGAGGGGAGGGGAAGGGAGGGGAGUGGUGCGUGGAGGGAAGUGGGUGUGCGGCGUGCCCAAUUCACGAGAGAGGAGAGAGGUCGGCAAGGGAGCGACCCAUGGGAGUUUUUUUCUUCUGAGUGAGCCUAGUUGGGCUAUCUGCUGCGUCCAAGGCCCAAUGCACCACAUGUCUUCAAAUUGGCCACCAGUAGCAGCCCUUAGAACAGACAGAGCCAGUUUGCAAAUUUAAAGACAUAAGUUUUUUGCACGCAUGAAAAACAUAACACCUAUCUUUUCACACAUAAUGAACUAUAGGUACUACCCAAAAAAACAUAAUGAACUAUAGUUUGUCACAAGAACUCAUGCCAUCUCACAACCUCCCUCUGACCCUGCCAACAUUGUUGCAACUGCACUCGCAAGUGUUAUCGUAGAUGAUCAUUUGCAUGAUUUCCCGUAAAACAAAAUAAGAUCUACAAACGAAUAGAAGCUACACAUACCAUGGCAUGCACACACAUUGCAAGCCAUACUAAGCAGAUAAGUGUUAAAAACUUGUACUCCCUCAUCUCAGUUUACAAGUCUUCCACGUGUAUCUAGGUCGUCAAUUUAAUUAUAUAAAAUAAAUUGUUUGACAUAAAUUAUAUCAUUAGAAAAUAGAAAUAUAUAUUUUGUAAUGUAUGCCUCUUAUUAAGUUGGUCAAAUUAACAAUCUAGGUACACAUGCAAGACUUUUAAACUAAGAUGGAGGGAGUACAACAUAUACAACACUUACGACAAGUAAAAGCAAUUUGAUGAGUCAUGGUCUAUCAAAGCAAGCUACAUUACUAAUCUAAUCUAUCUUAACAUGUCACACAUGAUUACAAUCUUUUUUGUGUGCAAGUCAAGCCUAUCUAGUCUACAUGUAACAACUUGUAGAACAUUACAAAAUUGAUGUUUGCUAAUAACUUUUAGAACACUACAACACUUGACAUGUAAAAAGAAUUUGAUGAGUCAUGACCUACUAAAGCAAGUUACAUUACUAGUCUCAUCUAUCUUAACAGGCCACACAAGAUUAAAAACUAAGUUCUGUGCAAGCAAUGCUUAUCUAUUUUACACAUAACAACUUGCAUAACAUUACAAACUUAGUUUUAGAAAAUUAGGCAACCUAGAUUAGUGUUUAGUUGUAAAGUGAAUAAGAUGAGUCAUGUGUGUUAUCACACCUUUUUGUGGUGGAAUGAUAGUGCCACCAAACACAACAUACCAAAAUAUGAUUUUGGGAAGCAUCCAAGCACUUUCCAGACAAGCAAAUGCCAAUUGUGAAAGAGAUAAUGCCAUGGCAGCUAUAAAUAGGCCUGUUGCAUGAUGAUCAUCCUUCCUCAUUCAUCAUUCUCAUAAGUAGAGUGCAUCAUUCAAGCCAAGCACGCACUGGUCAAUACAAAUCCAUCAUGAAGACAUUUCUCAUCAUUUCCCUCCUUGCUAUCGUGGCGACCACCGCCACAACUGCAGUUAGAGUUCCAGUGCCACAAUUGCAGCCACAAAAUCCAUCUCUGCAACAACCACAAGAGCAAGUUCCAUUGGUGCAACAACAACAAUUUCCAGGGCAGCAACAAACAUUUCCACCACAACAGCCAUAUCCGCAGCCGCAACCAUUUCCAGCGCAACAACCAUAUCCGCAGCCGCAACUAUUUCCACAGCCGCAACCUUUUCCGCCACAACUUCCAUAUCCGAAGCCGCAACCAUUUCCCCCACAACAACCAUAUCCACAACCGCAAACACAGCAUCUGCAACCACAACAACCAAUUUCGCAGCAACAAGCACAACAACAACAACAACAACAACAACAAAUCCUUCAACAAAUCCUUCAACAAAUUCUGCAACAACAACAACUGAUUCCAUGCAGGGAUGUCAUCGUCUUGCAACUACACAACAUAGCGCAUGAAAGCUCACAAGUAUUGCAGCAAAGUAGUUACCAAGUGUUGCAACAAUUAUGUUGUCAGCAGUUGUGGCAGAUCCCCGAGCUGUCGCGGUGCCAAGCCAUCCACAAUGUCGUUCAUGCUAUUAUUCUGCAUCAACAACAACAACAACAACAACA
RNAcentral lists this long non-coding RNA (13409 nucleotides) under Triticum aestivum (bread wheat). Its description in RNAcentral is "long non-coding RNA (TAES_LNC018938)". The record is from RNAcentral. Lineage: Eukaryota; Viridiplantae; Streptophyta; Magnoliopsida; Poales; Poaceae.